This 477-nucleotide ribosomal RNA is filed under the name Laccophilini sp. MB1189. RNAcentral describes it as "partial 16S ribosomal RNA". It matches the Rfam family "Bacterial large subunit ribosomal RNA", at positions 1859 to 2597 of the family's 2925-position model. Lineage: Eukaryota; Metazoa; Arthropoda; Insecta; Coleoptera; Dytiscidae. The record is from RNAcentral.
CUGCCCACUGAUUAUAUUGAAGGGCCGCAGUAUUUUGACUGUGCAAAGGUAGCAUAAUCAUUAGUUUUUUAAUUGAAAGCUGGUAUGAAUGAUUGGACGUAAUAAUAUCUGUCUUUAUUUAAUAGUUUGAAUUUAAUUUUUUAGUUAAAAAGCUAAAAUUUUUAUAAAAGACGAGAAGACCCUAUAGAUCUUUAUGUUAGUUUAAUUUAAAGUAUUGAGUAUUUAUAUUUUUUAUAUUAAAUUAUACAUUUUAUUGGGGUAAUAUUAAGAUUUGGUUAAUUCUUAAAUUUAGUUUCAUAGAUUAAUGUUUUUUUGAUCCUGUAUUAUAGGAUUUAAGAUUAAGUUACCUUAGGGAUAACAGCGUAAUUUUUUUGGAGAGUUCUUAUCGAUAAAAAAGUUUGCGACCUCGAUGUUGGAUUAAAAUUAAUUUUAGGUGAAGUAGUUUAAAUAUUUGGUCUGUUCGACCAUUAAAAUUUU